GACGUAGGGUGCAAGCGUUGUCCGGAAUUACUGGGCGUAAAGCGCGUGUAGGCGGCUAAGUAAGUCGGGCGUGAAAUCCCACGGCUCAACCGUGGAAGUGCACUCGAAACUGCAUAGCUAGAGUCCUGGAGAGGAAGGUGGAAUGCUUGGUGUAGAGGUGAAAUUCGUAGAUAUCAAGCGGAACACCGGUGGCGAAGGCGGCCUUCUGGACAGUGACUGACGCUGAGACGCGAAAGCGUGGGGAGCAAACAGG
RNAcentral lists this ribosomal RNA (253 nucleotides) under uncultured bacterium. RNAcentral's name for it is "partial 16S ribosomal RNA". It matches the Rfam family "Bacterial small subunit ribosomal RNA", at positions 524 to 776 of the family's 1533-position model. The record is from RNAcentral.